This 67-nucleotide transfer RNA is filed under the name Petrobiellus sp. 1 JZ-2014. Its description in RNAcentral is "tRNA-Pro". The record is from RNAcentral. Lineage: Eukaryota; Metazoa; Arthropoda; Insecta; Archaeognatha; Machilidae.
CAGAGAAUAGUUUAUAACUAAAAUAUUAGCUUUGGAGGCUGUUGUUAACAAAUUUUGUUUUCUUUGA